RNAcentral lists this long non-coding RNA (511 nucleotides) under Monodelphis domestica (gray short-tailed opossum). RNAcentral describes it as "lncRNA (ENSMODG00000041407.1)". The record is from RNAcentral. Lineage: Eukaryota; Metazoa; Chordata; Mammalia; Didelphimorphia; Didelphidae.
AACACAGGUGCUAAGACAGAUAAAAAGCAGGACAAUCAAGAAAUCUCAGAAAACGGGAAAAAGGGACAAAAACUAGUAAUUGAACUGGAGAGAAACGCUGAAAGAAAAAGAUCUUGAUCCUAAACGAAAAUCUGCAAAUAGAAGAGAUAUCCAAUUGAUUAUAAGAGCAAAUAGAUAAGACUUCAGGAAUCAAUAGUUUGGAAAGCUCUGCGUGUUGCUUGUGUUGAGAAGCCAUAUGAGAAAUGUCAAAAUUCUGCUUUUUUGUCACUAGUUAUCAGGGGAGAGCGCGAACGCAGUCCCCCACUACCACAAAUUAUGCAGUCGAGUUUCCCGCAUUUGGGGAAAUCGCAGGGGUCAGCCCAUCCGGCAAUGGAUAAGCCUCGCCCUGGGGAAACCACCUUCGUGAUCAUGGAAUCACCCCUGCCAGUUAUGCAGUCGAGUUUCCCGCAUUUGGGGAAAUCGCAGGGGUCAGCCCAUCCGGCAAUGGAUAAGCCUUGCCCUGGGAAAACCA